Molecule: ribosomal RNA, 344 nt
Filed under: uncultured bacterium
Lineage: Bacteria
Description: bacterial SSU rRNA
Rfam family: Bacterial small subunit ribosomal RNA
Source: RNAcentral
GAGUUUGAUCCUGGCUCAAGAUGAACGCUAGCGGCAGGCUUAACACAUGCAAGUCGAGGGGCAGCAUAAUGGAUAGCAAUAUCUAUGGUGGCGACCGGCGCACGGGUGCGUAACGCGUAUGCAACCUACCUUUAACAGGGGGAUAACACUGAGAAAUUGGUACUAAUACCCCAUAAUAUCAUAGAAGGCAUCUUUAUGGUUGAAAAUUCCGAUGGUUAGAGAUGGGCAUGCGUUGUAUUAGCUAGUUGGUGGGGUAACGGCUCACAAGGCGACGAUACAUAGGGGGACUGAGAGGUUAACCCCCCNACUGGUACUGAGACACGGACCAGACUCCUACGGGAGCA